GGGGAGAGGGGUGGAAUUGGCCAAGAGAAAAUAUUUUGUUGUUCAAAGGGAAAACUAAGCCAACACAGCCAUUUUCAAUUUUUGAGCACGAGUUCUUUUUAUUUCUAUGAAAAUAGCUCAUCACUCUUGUGUAAUACAAUUAAAUGCAAUUAUUAAUCUUUGCAUGUAGGUUUUUACUUUUGAUUAUGAUAUUAGUUGAAAUUACUA
RNAcentral lists this unclassified non-coding RNA (207 nucleotides) under Hevea brasiliensis (rubber tree). The record is from RNAcentral. Lineage: Eukaryota; Viridiplantae; Streptophyta; Magnoliopsida; Malpighiales; Euphorbiaceae.